AUUUCAAUGGCGAUUUCAUCUCCU
This 24-nucleotide non-coding RNA is filed under the name Arabidopsis thaliana (thale cress). Lineage: Eukaryota; Viridiplantae; Streptophyta; Magnoliopsida; Brassicales; Brassicaceae. The record is from RNAcentral.